AUUGAACGCUGGCGGCAUGCCUAACACAUGCAAGUCGAACGGCAGCAUGGUCUAGCUUGCUAGACUGAUGGCGAGUGGCGGACGGGUGAGUAACGCGUAGGAAUAUACCUUAAAGAGAGGGACAACUUGGGGAAACUCAAGCUAAUACCGCAUGUACUCUGAGGAGUAAAGCUGGGGACCGAAAGGCCUGGCGCUUUAAGCAUAGCCUGCGUCCGAUUAGCUAGUUGGUAGGGUAAAGGCCUACCAAGGCGAUGAUCGGUAGCUGGUCUGAGAGGAUGGCCAGCCACACUGGGACUGAGACACGGCCCAGACUCCUACGGGUGGCAG
Molecule: ribosomal RNA, 327 nt
Filed under: uncultured Pseudomonadota bacterium
Lineage: Bacteria; Pseudomonadati; Pseudomonadota
Description: bacterial SSU rRNA
Rfam family: Bacterial small subunit ribosomal RNA
Source: RNAcentral